UGGGGUGUGUCUCAGUGAUGGAGUUCUUGUCUUGCAUGCAUAAAGCUCUGGGUUCAAUCUCCAGCACCACAA
This 72-nucleotide transfer RNA is filed under the name Cavia porcellus (domestic guinea pig). It matches the Rfam family "tRNA". Rfam says of the family: Transfer RNA (tRNA) molecules are approximately 80 nucleotides in length. Their secondary structure includes four short double-helical elements and three loops (D, anti-codon, and T loops). Further hydrogen bonds mediate the characteristic L-shaped molecular structure. tRNAs have two regions of fundamental functional importance: the anti-codon, which is responsible for specific mRNA codon recognition, and the 3' end, to which the tRNAs corresponding amino acid is attached (by aminoacyl-tRNA synthetases). tRNAs cope with the degeneracy of the genetic code in two manners: having more than one tRNA (with a specific anti-codon) for a particular amino acid; and 'wobble' base-pairing, i.e. permitting non-standard base-pairing at the 3rd anti-codon position. Lineage: Eukaryota; Metazoa; Chordata; Mammalia; Rodentia; Caviidae. The record is from Rfam by way of RNAcentral.